Molecule: ribosomal RNA, 474 nt
Filed under: Staphylococcus epidermidis
Lineage: Bacteria; Bacillati; Bacillota; Bacilli; Caryophanales; Staphylococcaceae
Description: bacterial SSU rRNA
Rfam family: Bacterial small subunit ribosomal RNA
Source: RNAcentral
UUUUAUGGAGAGUUUGAUCCUGGCUCAGGAUGAACGCUGGCGGCGUGCCUAAUACAUGCAAGUCGAGCGAACAGACGAGGAGCUUGCUCCUCUGACGUUAGCGGCGGACGGGUGAGUAACACGUGGAUAACCUACCUAUAAGACUGGGAUAACUUCGGGAAACCGGAGCUAAUACCGGAUAAUAUAUUGAACCGCAUGGUUCAAUAGUGAAAGACGGUUUUGCUGUCACUUAUAGAUGGAUCCGCGCCGCAUUAGCUAGUUGGUAAGGUAACGGCUUACCAAGGCAACGAUGCGUAGCCGACCUGAGAGGGUGAUCGGCCACACUGGAACUGAGACACGGUCCAGACUCCUACGGGAGGCAGCAGUAGGGAAUCUUCCGCAAUGGGCGAAAGCCUGACGGAGCAACGCCGCGUGAGUGAUGAAGGUCUUCGGAUCGUAAAACUCUGUUAUUAGGGAAGAACAAAUGUGUAAGUA